CGGCCCCAAACUUCCUACCGGGAGGCAGCAGUAGGAAUCCUGCACAUUGACGAAGGUCGAUGAGCAACGCCGCGUGAGUGAGAGGUUUUCGGAUCGUAAACUCUGUGUCAGAGAAGAACGUGUGCGAGAGUAACUGUUCGUGCAGUGACGGUAUCUGACCAGAAAGCCACGGCUAACUACGUGCCAGCAGCCGCGGUAAUACGUAGGUGGCAAGCGUUGUCCGGAUUUAUUGGGCGUAAAGGGAACGCAGGCGGUUUUUUAAGUCUGAUGUGAAAGCCUUCGGCUUAACCGAAGUCGUGCAUUGGAAACUGGAGAACUUGAGUGCAGAAGAGGAGAGUGGAACUCCAUGUGUAGCGGUGAAAUGCGUAGAUAUAUGGAAGAACACCAGUGGCGAAAGCGGCUCUCUGGUCUGUAACUGACGCUGAGGUUCGAAAGCGUGGGUAGCAAACAGGAUUAGAUACCCUGGUAGUCCACGCUGUAAACGAUGAAUGCUAAGUGUUGGAGGGUUUCCGCCCUUCAGUGCCGCAGCUAACGCAUUAAGCAUUCCGCCUGGGGAGUACGACCGCAAGGUUGAAACUCAAAGGAAUUGACGGGGGCCCGCACAAGCGGUGGAGCAUGUGGUUUAAUUCGAAGCAACGCGAAGAACCUUACCAGGUCUUGACAUCUUCUGCAAGCCUGAGAGAUCAGGUGUUCCCUUCGGGGACAGAAUGACAGGUGGUGCAUGGUUGUCGUCAGCUCGUGUCGUGAGAUGUUGGGUUAAGUCCCGCAACGAGCGCAACCCUUAUUGCCAGUUGCCAGCAUUCAGUUGGGCACUCUGACAAGACUGCCGGUGACAAACCGGAGGAAGGUGGGGAUGACGUCAAAUCAUCAUGCCCCUUAUGACCUGGGCUACACACGUGCUACAAUGGACGAUACAACGAGUUGCUAGACCGCGAGGUUAAGCUAAUCUCUUAAAGUCGUUCUCAGUUCGGAUUGCAGGCUGCAACUCGCCUGCAUGAAGUCGGAAUCGCUAGUAAUCGCGGAUCAGCAUGCCGCGGUGAAUACGUUCCCGGGCCUUGUACACACCGCCCGUCACACCAUGAGAGUUUGUAACACCCAAAGCCGGUGGGGUAACCAUUAGGAACCAGCCGUCUAAGGUGGGACAGAUGAUUGGGGUGAAGUCGAACAACGUGCAGG
RNAcentral lists this ribosomal RNA (1176 nucleotides) under Liquorilactobacillus ghanensis. RNAcentral describes it as "bacterial SSU rRNA". It matches the Rfam family "Bacterial small subunit ribosomal RNA", at positions 327 to 1502 of the family's 1533-position model. Lineage: Bacteria; Bacillati; Bacillota; Bacilli; Lactobacillales; Lactobacillaceae. The record is from RNAcentral.